This 220-nucleotide ribosomal RNA is filed under the name uncultured bacterium. RNAcentral's name for it is "partial 16S ribosomal RNA". It matches the Rfam family "Bacterial small subunit ribosomal RNA", at positions 111 to 334 of the family's 1533-position model. The record is from RNAcentral.
UAAUGUAUCGGAACGUGCCCAGUCGUGGGGGAUAACUGCUCGAAAGAGCAGCUAAUACCGCAUACGACCUGAGGGUGAAAGCGGGGGAUCGCAAGACCUCGCGCGAUUGGAGCGGCCGAUAUCAGAUUAGGUAGUUGGUGAGGUAAAGGCUCACCAAGCCGACGAUCUGUAGCUGGUCUGAGAAGACGACCAGCCACACUGGGACUGAGACACGGCCCAG